UAGUCAAACUGAUUUUAUUGUCUUUAUAAACUUUCAGAGGACUUUUUGGUGUGGGGGAAGGGUGUUCAAUGCAUUUGAGUAUCUUAAAUGCAAGSCAGAAUAUUACCAACAGCAAUUCAUGCUGUGGGUGGCAAUGAACACUAGGCAACUUUUAUCUGGCUGUCUAAUUUUAAUUAGGAUGGAAAAUCCAGCCUAUGUUUAUGUCAUUUUCUGUUUGUGUAACACUAAUAAAAACUGGUUGCCUGUAUAAAAAAAAAAAAAAAAAGAAGAAAAGAGAAGAAAGAACAGAGGAUGCUGGCAAAAGACAAAGCAAGAAACAAUAACAUAGCGUUCAGCUCAGUGGAUUCGAUUCAGCCAGUUCUGGAACAGCAAGGCUCCAGUUACUGUUUGUCUUCCUGGCGUGCCAAGAAGGCCCACGAUGCAAGCAGAUGUGACUCGUCAGAACGAACCAAUGGCAUCUCACAACAACCCCAGUAUGGGCCACGUGCUGUCAGUGAUCCUGAUGUUCUAGCCCGGCUCGCUGAAGAUGUUUUUUGCCUCAGGUUUCUCAUUAUUACC
Molecule: long non-coding RNA, 558 nt
Filed under: Dromaius novaehollandiae (emu)
Lineage: Eukaryota; Metazoa; Chordata; Aves; Casuariiformes; Dromaiidae
Description: lncRNA (ENSDNVG00000006941.1)
Source: RNAcentral